Papaver somniferum (opium poppy) is the source of this 95-nucleotide small nucleolar RNA. The record is from RefSeq and is a predicted model, not a curated record. NCBI's taxonomy places the organism in Eukaryota, Viridiplantae, Streptophyta, Magnoliopsida, Ranunculales, Papaveraceae.
UUUGGAUAAAUGAUGAACAACACAAAUCAAAUGGGUAAAUUGUAUCUUACACUUUUUCAGUGACGUUAGCAUAUCUUAGAGAUAUAAUACCCUGU